ACGGCGGUGGUGUAGCAAGUGUGUGCGCUGAAGUCAGGAGGUUUGGGGUUUGUCUCCACACUCUCGCUUCAGUUGCGGCCCUCCCGCAGAUGAGCAGCCCGAGGCUCAGACAAGCCCCAGCCAAGGUGAAAGAGCCGAAAGGCGAAGGCUCCGGGUCUCCCCGCUGACCCGGUCGUGCCCGCUGCUGCUUCACCGCUUCACACAGCGCUGGUUACGUGCGGUUCUGCCAUACCUUUCGCGUGUUUUUGUGGUGUUGGUCCUGCUUUCUCUUCCACGUAGCGCUCCUUUUUUUUUUUUUCUUUUUUUUAUGAGACAGAGUCUCACUUUGUCACCCUCCGUAGAAUGCUGUGGCAUCACAGCUUACAGCAACCUCCAACUCUUGAGCUCAAGGGAUCCUCUUUCCUCAGCCUCCCAAGUAGCUGGGACACAGGGUGCAGCGCCAGCUGCUGUGAGGACAGCCAGCCGUCCCUGCAGCAGGUGCACCAGUGCAUCGAGCACUGCCUUAGGCCUCUGGCUCAAGCUCAGGGUCUGGUGACCCACUAGUUGGAAAAGUUCCAGUGAAAUUAAAGGGCGGCAGACAUGUCCAAAGAAUAUUGUAGGGAUUUGGUCCCUUUAUGAAUCUUGUGAUGGAUGAAUGUGUGGAGACGGCAACUAGUGAACAACAGAACAAUAUUGGAAUGGU
This is a long non-coding RNA of Nycticebus coucang (slow loris), 682 nucleotides long. RefSeq lists it as uncharacterized. Lineage: Eukaryota; Metazoa; Chordata; Mammalia; Primates; Lorisidae. The record is from RefSeq and is a predicted model, not a curated record. The transcript has 3 exons.